Varanus komodoensis (Komodo dragon) is the source of this 5700-nucleotide long non-coding RNA. RefSeq lists it as uncharacterized. The transcript is spliced from 5 exons. NCBI's taxonomy places the organism in Eukaryota, Metazoa, Chordata, Lepidosauria, Squamata, Varanidae. The record is from RefSeq and is a predicted model, not a curated record.
UUUUUGGUGCCAUCCUGCGCGUGAGUGGGGGAGGUUUCAGCGCGAGCUUUGUCAGCGCUUUGACGGGGGUCUCGCCUGCGUUUGGAACAGCUGUUGCUCAGCGUUUCGGUGGGGAGGCGUAAGGGAAGGAAGAGAUAAGAGCAAGGUCAUCCUGCAGGACAACCAAGGCAAUUUCCAUUUCAAAACCAACCUGAACCCCAGUUGAAAUUCAUCUAAGCAAUCAAUUUCUUUCAAGAAGCAGUUGGCAAGAGAAAGCAGGGCCUUAUUUGUGGCACCCCUCUCUGCUUCAAGUUUCCUAGACCUCAAGGGUUGAAUUUUACAGCUGAAUGAUUGUACAGACUCUAAAGCAAUGGAAUUUGUGACAACUUGCUUUGAGGUGUCAGCACUAGAAAGAUGAAUCACUUAUUAGUAGGAGGCCUGACACAUGAUGAAAUCACCAGCUGACACUUCAGUGACCUUUAAUAUUGUUUUGUGUAACACAUCACGAAGAGGGACAUUGUGGGAUUCUGAGUGUUCCACAGGGCAUGUAUGCAGUGAUGUUGCAAUUCUGUGGGUAGUAAUUUUCUUUUUCCCACCCCCCCCACCCCCACACAGUGAAAUGCUUUAUCAUCACAGAAAGUAUGAGAACUUGCCUUUGGUGGGAUAUGACUAAUCCAUGGCUGUUUUUAAAUGAAUCACAAUUAAUAUCUCCCUUAAAACACGCUACACAGCCAAAAGAUUUUCAUUAAUGUUAUUAUUGCAAAUCAGUGGAAAGGGAGAGAUACGUCCCAAGAAAGAGCUAUACCUACUUCAAAAUCCAGAAAAUCAAAUUAUGGAUCUUACUCAAGAAUAUUACAGACCUUGGAUGUCACAGUGGGCACAUCUUUUCACAUGCUAUUAUGAAGAAAGCACAUGGAACUCAAGAGGAAUUGCUAGAGAUUAUAGCAGCAGUCUGGAGCCACUACUAAGGUCCGCUGUUCAGAGCUCAAAUGGCAACCUUCCAUUGAUCAUUGAGUGGCCAGCAAGGCCUUGUCUAAGGAUCUGAAUGGUCAGCUGAAUGUGCAUAGAGGAAGGCAUGCUACAUACCCUCAUCCCAAGAUGUAAGAAAGAAGUUCAACAUCCCUUCUGCUUGUAGUUGCUCCAUUAAAAUUUUACUGCUGUUGGGUGGGUGACCUGUUUUUGAAGUUUCAUGUCUACCAUAAUAUUAGGCAGAGCAGUCAGUGAUCAAGUAAAUGCAUGUGUGAACCAGUUCAGUGGAUACAGCACAGCAGACCCAUAGCACUUUCAGUUUUCUUAAUGGAAGGAUUUCAAAUGCUAAUAUUGUAUUUAGAAAUAUGGUAUACCAAGUGGGAUAACACAAUUCAAAGACAAGACCAAAUACUAGGAAGGAUUCAAAAGAAAGAGCUCUAGAGAAGAUAGGAGAUCUACAAAGAAAUCCAGAGAGUCAUUUGAAGGACAUGAAAUGUCAACUAUAAAAUGAAUAAGACCUAUGCCAGAAUAUAUAGUUUCUUCUACAUGAAGGCCCAUUAGUGCCACUGAGACAUUGCUCUUUCACAACUGGAAACAGGCUUAAAAAUUAUUGUUCAUUUAACGGUUUAUUAUGUGUUACUUGUAAGAAUCCCACAAUCAAGGUCCCAAUAUCUGUUUAUUCAGAAGUAAGCUUCAUUCAGCAGAAGUUCCAUGUUUUGUGGUUAACAGUCUGAACAAGUUGUUGUUCUUUGAACCCCUUUUCUGAAUGUGGUUAUUUCAUUGCAGUUACUGGUCCUUUAAUUAGUUAUUUCGUUCAACUUGGCUAAGCCCUUUAAAUAAGCCCUAUUCAGGCAUUCUGAACCCAAAUAGUGCAAAUCCAUGAGGAAAGGGAAUGUUCCAGUCCCACCCCAUCUGCAUCACUGUAAUUGUCUCUUGUCCUCCUUGGUAUUUGUGAAGUGCAGCAGUCUGAAGAAAAGAAACUCCUGUAUUUGUGGAGGCUCUCUAUGAAAGCAGGAAUCCUGAUUUUCCAACAUUUUUGCUUGCCUGGAGAGCCCCACAUGUUUGUUUUAUUCAGGUUCAGAAUGGCUGAAUAGGCCUUUAGCCAUUUUCAGUUCCCUAGCAGUGCCAGUGUCUGGCUUUAAUUACUCUGUUGCUCUUUAUGUCCAGCUGAAUUUCUCAUUCACUAAUACACGAUGGUGAUUGUGAUAAUAACAAUAUCAACAAUGAGCAACUUAAAUAAAAUAUGGUUUAAAUUUUAAAAGGAAGAUAUGAAAACAGAAAUGAACAAAAAUGUUAAGGCUGACUUUUAUCUCCUUUCUUCACCGCACCCUCCUUCCAGAGAUCUGUGCAGUAUUCUAUUAGGCACCUGAACUCAGUAAUCCAUCUGUUGCCUGCUGGAGCUUUUGGGUUAGACUUGACCAUAGUUGGUAUGACUAGAUAACUCUUUCUUGCUAUUGAUACCAAUGGUCUCCCAGUGGAUCUUAAUGAAAUGGCCCCUUUGCCACAACAAGGAGCAAAGGGAAGCAUAAUCUCCUGAUAAGCAGUCUCUGUGUAGCACAACUCUCAGAGCAUAAUAAUUGAAAAUGUAAUUUACUUAUGCUGAUUGGCACCAUUUCAUGCAGCAAUUUAAUUUGUCAUAGGGAAGAUGUUUAACAGUUAUAAUGAAACAAUUAUAGUUCUAAAGGAAAGCUGUCAGUCUUUGUAGCCUUUCUCUCCCUCCUCCCUGUAGCCUGACAGACCCGGAAGAUUCUCUUCUGUCACAGGGAUGAGAAGGAUCAUGACAUUUUGGGCAUCUGGCCAGGUGGGGCUAAUCUCAUAAGCUGCCACUGCCCUGGUGAUUGGGGCUGCUUGUAUGAGUUUUAAUUCAGUGCUGUGAUGUCCUCAUUUUACCUAUCUGAAUGCUAAGCUGUAAUCCAUCUGGUGGUGAAUUGAACUGAUGGACAGUGAGUGCAUGUUACCAUCUCAUUUAUUAAUCUUGUGGUUUCUAUCAAGUUGAGACAAAAGCAUUGCCUGAUAAAUUAGUUUAUGGGUAAAGUCAGAUAAGGUUAGCAAAAUUUAUAUAAUACAGACCAGCUUUCCUAAAACCUGGUGCCCUCCAGAAGUUUCAGACUGUAACUCCCACCAGCAUUAGACAGUAUGACCAACAGUCAGGAAAGCUGGAAGCUGUUCUCAAAAAUAUCUGCCAGGUACCAGAUAGGGAAAAACUGAUAGAUGCCUUUCUUUGUUAAGAUCAAAUCUGUACUUGAUGAGUAAUGUACAGAUGCUGAAUAAGAUUCUCCUCCUGUGCAUCAGGACAAGAUCCUGAUUCAGGCAUAAAUUUUGCUGAACAGUGUUGGGCAUGCCAUUGUAUCUCAAGGAGAAGGUAUGAAACUGCCCAGCCAUUUAUUUAUUUUUUGGUUUCAUUCUUGAUUGGCCUAGGGCCAAUGGGGAGAAGAAAACUAGCCUCUAUGAUAAUUGGAAACUGGACUAAAUUCUACAGUUCUUCAGAUUGGCUGAGAAGGGAGAUUUAGAAGAGUAAAUAUAAGUGAAGGAGAGUGAGCAUGCAUGUAAAGGUAUAGAUAAGCAGGGGUGUUGUUGAAAAGUUCAGAAGGGAAGACAGCCAGAAAGCAAGAGAAUUCAGUAUAAAAAGUAUUGCAGAGUAACCAGCCAAUGACUAGAAUGUGCAGAAAGAAACUGUUUUAUUGCUAGAUCUUAGCUUAAGCCAAGAAAUGGACUACACUAGAGAGAGAUCUAUUUAACAUUUUUAUAUAAUUGCUUUUUAUUUUUUUAUUUCUAGAAAUAACAGUGUAAUAUCUAACUCCUCUUUUUCAAGUCAGCAAUUUAGUAAAAACUAAAUUUACUGUUGGAUAAACUUUGAUGCUUUGAUUUUCAUCUCAUGCUCAGUUGUCUUACCAUACUACCCCAUAUAGCUAGUUGGAAGGGUCAGUGAAGAAAUCUUUUAGGGACAACAAAAUCACACAAUAAAAAGCUGUUUGUAUGAAGGCAACCAGAAAAGCUAAAAGACUUGGUAGCAGAGGUGAAGGUCAGGAGCAUAAACAUUAGUUCAUUUGCUCCAUUCCCUCUCUUCUUUCCCAUGAUGUCAACUUUAUUAUGGAACCAUAUUUGAUUUGACAUUUGCAUGUUGCUUGUCCAGCAACAGAGCCGAGUUCUGAGUAGCUCAUAUGCACUAAAAAUAAUAUGAAUAACAUUGCUGCCAAUAUAAUAUAAAAAACACAGUACCAUAUCACUAAAGCAGAAACUCAGCCCAUUGUUUUUGAUUUUAGUGAGGGGUUUUUGUUUUGUUUUUUGUACUUAGUGCUUUAACUUGGUAUGCCUAGGGCUGAAAACUUGAGAUGGAGUGGUUUAUACAACCUGUAACAAACAGACAAACACAGUUCCACAAACUCGUGCAAACUUCUGAGGUUUUCAGAAGUCUUCCUCAGGCUAGGUAGUACAAAAAACAGAAUGAGGGAAGAAGCAGAAAGCACAAACAUCAUGGCUGCAUUAAAAAUUCUGGAGAACUUGGAAGUUUGUACAAUAUUUUGGAAUUUUGUUCCAAAAUAAGUAUUUCCCGGAAAGGGGAUUGCUUGCCUGGUGCAGGUAGACAAGGCUCUACUUUUCUUCUCAGUUGCAUCAGAAAAUAAUAAAAAGCAAUCUUGUCCUCAAGUGCCACAGCUCCUUUUAGAGUUUCAGCCACAAGUGAGGCGUUGGUCUCAUUCAACCAUGGAUGAAACCCAUACUCCCUUGGAGGCAGCUGCAUCUGCAUCCUCUAAGGCAACUGUGAUUAUAGUUUCAGCCACAAGGGAGGUGGGGUUCCCUUCAACACUGACAAUGAGGCCCCUUUUGUGCAGCUUUUGGCCUCAGGGGACUAUUGUCAGGCCCCCUAGAUUACAGAAAUUAGGCAUUUCUACUCUAAUGAAACAGUUAUGUUUCUGCUUCAACACAUCACCUUUUAUGGAUGAUAUUCUUAUAAAUAGACCUGGUUCUCAUGAAAUGGUAGCAUAUCCUUGGUUAAUGAACAAGCCCAUUAAUUCUUGAGUUGAUUGCAGCAAAAACAAUGAAGGUUUUUGUGGCACCUUAAGGAGGAACAAAUUAAUUUUGGUACAGAUGCUGAUGUCAGAAUACUUGUUGGCUUUCAAGGUGUCUCAAGAUAUUUUGUUGUUCUGUUAAGGCCAGUAAUCUCAAAUAAUAAAUAACUCCCCUUCUAAAGUGACCUGCUGUCCUCAAGGGAUUUUUUUUAAAAUCUGAAAUGAUUCCAUUUUUGCUGUGUUGACUUUCUCUGUGACUCCAACUUAUGAUAAAACAAGACAGUGUCCUAUUAAAAUUGAUAUGAUUCUUGCAAACUAACCAUUUGUGCCUAUGGCAGUUUGGGGAGGGGGACUUAACAUUUUAAAGUCAUCUUUCAUUCUCUCUGAAGAGCUUUACAAUUUCCAAAUAUGAAGUGACUAAUUGACUGCCUCAUUGUUUGGCCCCUUUAUUUCUGUUCACUCAGACUAACUAUUGACAUAACGUUAUUUUAUUUGCUUCAUGAGAGUGAUUGGAGGCAGCAUUAGUUGGGCACUGGUUGGAUUCUAAAGGCAUAAAUACGUCAUAUGACUCAUAAUAUCCAUUCUAGGGUUAACAAGACUUUACAGUGUUUGAAUCCUUCAAGCUGUUUCUAAAAAACAAAACAAAAACAACUUAUGUGCUGUGGCUUCUUGAGUUGUACAUUAUAAAUUUGAAUUGUUUUCCUUUGCUUGUACCUUGCUUUAAUAAAGUCAAUUUUUACUUCCA